RNAcentral lists this ribosomal RNA (468 nucleotides) under uncultured bacterium. RNAcentral describes it as "partial 16S ribosomal RNA". It matches the Rfam family "Bacterial small subunit ribosomal RNA", at positions 28 to 507 of the family's 1533-position model. The record is from RNAcentral.
GACGAACGCUGGCGGCGUGCUUAACACAUGCAAGUCGAACGGAAAGGCGCUGCUUUUGUGGGGUGCUCGAGUGGCGAAGGGGUGAGUAACACGUGAGUAACCUGCCCUUGACUGUGGGAUAACUUCAGGAAACUGGGGCUAAUACCGCAUAGGAGCUCCUGCUGCAUGGUGUGGGUUGGAAAGUUUCGGCGGUGGUGGCUGGACUAGCGGCUUAUCAGCUUGUUGGUGGGGUAGGGGCUUACAAAGCCUUUGACGGGUAGCCGGCCUGAGAGGGUUGACGGCCACCUUGGGACUGAGAUACGGCCCAGACUCCUACGGGAGGCAGCAGUGGGGAAUAUUGCACAAUGGGCGGAAGCCUGAUGCAGCAACGCCGCGUGCGGGAUGACGGCCUUCGGGUUGUGAACCGCUUUCGCCUGUGACGAAGCGUGAGUGACGGUAAUGGGUAAAGAAGCACCGGCUAACUACGUG